RNAcentral lists this ribosomal RNA (234 nucleotides) under uncultured bacterium. Its description in RNAcentral is "partial 16S ribosomal RNA". It matches the Rfam family "Bacterial small subunit ribosomal RNA", at positions 118 to 348 of the family's 1533-position model. The record is from RNAcentral.
UGAGGAACAUGACUUUCGGCGGGGGAUAGCCGGCCCAACGGCCGGGUAAUACCGCGUACGACCACAUGGGGACAUCCCUGAGUGGUGAAAGCAGCAAUGCGCCGAUGGAGUGCCUCGCGGCCUAUCAGCUAGUUGGUGAGGUAACGGCUCACCAAGGCGACGACGGGUAGCUGGUCUGAGAGGAUGGCCAGCCACAUUGGGACUGAGAUACCGGCCCAGACCUCGUAACGGGGA